CGAAUAGCGCGAUCCUAUAAGUGGUGCCAAAAACAUCAUCUGCCAAUUAUAUUUAAAACACACAAGUAUAUAUUUUUUUCUAGGAGCCAUACAAGUAUCUUUUCCCUAAUAAUAAAGCAUGGGUUAAGGCUCUUGAGCUCUCUGUCGUGGCAUUUUUACAUAAAGGUCCCUGUGAUUUAGGGUAAUACAACCCGCAGUCUUUUUAAAUCUCUCCCUAAUCUAAAGUUAACCGAACCAGUUUGAGAUAAAAGAAAAAAAAUCCCCAGCCUCCCGAUAUCAUCUCGACCUCCAGGCUCAAGCGCUUCGCCACCUCCCGCCGGCCGCCCCCCCUCUCCCCCCGUCGCCGCGCGCCGCCACUGACGCCGUGGCCAUUGGAAGCUCCCCCCCGCCCCUGCUACCAUGGUGCCGCCGGGACUCCUGCCCGCUGCUGAAAUUUCCCAUCGCCAUCCCAAGGGCAUCGCCCGCCGCGCUCCCCUGGACCCUGAGCGCCGCCGCCCCAGCCACCAUCGUGCCUCCACCGGGUGACCCCAGGCGCCGCUGAUCCCGUGUGCUGCUGCUCGAAGAUUCCCCUGCUCGCUGCCCUCUCCCUCCCACUCCACAGUGCACGGGGCAGGGGGAACCGGGUGGCGGCGGCGGCAUGAUCUCCGGUAAGCGGUGGGGCCGGGAUCCGGUGGCGGCGGCAAGCUCCUGUAGAUAGGCAACAAGCGAGAGAGAGGGAUUGAGAGAAAGCGAGAUGCAGGGGAGAGAGAUGGGAAGGAAGGAGAAGAAGACGAGCAUGGGCAGUGGGGCGUAGGAGAGAGAGAGGGCGGAGGGAAGGAGGAUAAGGACAGAUGGCAGGGGGCGGCCUGUGUGAUUGCUCCGGUGAUGGCGUCUGGCGUCGGUUCACACUUCGGCGCGCAGCCGCAAUACCUUCCCUCCACCGUCUCCACGUGGUGUAGGCUGCUGCAAUCUCUCUAUCCCAGCGAUGUCCCAGCUGCACGCCACAGCCAGCCAACAAGACCAGUAUGUAGCUCAGGCCCAGAAUUGGUCAAUUUUAUACAGCUGCAAUACACAACGACACACAAAAUAGAUGCUCCUAGGCUUGAUCUUUCUACUACAACUAAACAUACUCGCCCAAUACUUAUUAUCGCACUUUUCUCAACUAAACAUACUCUGUCCCUUGAGGAGGAUUUCAGGGGAGAUCGACUACUGUAAGUCUGUGACGAUAACAAGAGGCUGAUAUUUGAGCUGGACUCUUGCGGACAACAGGUUCAGGAGCUCCAAGCCAACAACAGCCAUUGCCUUGAAAAAGAUGUAAGAUUGCUACUAUCUAGCUUCUGUCACAAGAUUUGAUGUAGCCUGUUAUUUUGUAUGUCAGUCAGUUUUGUUGUAAGAAUGAGUAAUAGAUCUAUUGUUCAAUUCUUGUUUGAGAUAGAAUACAAGUUAUGUUAAAUAUUCAAUGUUUAUUGAACAUGACCAUAGUGGAAAAGGCUUUAAAGAUCAAGAGAUGAGAUAUUUUUUCCUUUAACAGUUCAAUUUCUGAAAAAAAAAAUCAACACAAUAGCCGAGUUUAUUACAAUUUUCACAUAUAAUACUUGCCGCUAAGAACUUAUAGGUAUAUGCUUUCACAUGCAGUACUGUCUUUGCUAACACGUAUGGUGUCAGUUUAGAAAGACCUACGUAAUGUUGUUUUCAUUCUUGGCUUCAGGGAAAAAGGGAUAGGUUCAGAAAAUAUUUAUCUAGGAUAGAUGUAUAUUUAUGUAAGAGGAUAGAUGUACUUACGUGUAGAACUACAGUUUGUUGCAGUUGCUAGGGACUGUAAAUUACGUUUCUAAUUCAUUCUUUUGCAUUUCAGUCUGUCAUUCAUUGUUACUUGAAUGUUUCUCUUUUUGUGAUCUCCCAUAGAAGCAUUUUGUUUGUUUUUUCACUGGAACAGCUCUACGCGCCUUGUGAAAUGUCUGAUGUAGUUUGGAAAUAUGAGUGAGAACUGCAAGUACGUCGAUACUGCCCUCUAUGUAUCGAAUCCAAGGAUUUUUUCUAAUAUAUAUUCUUUUUGAUAAUUUCAAGGGAGGAAGAGAACUCCAGUUCUAUGGUAAUGUUCUUGAUUCUGAUUUUCCAUGAUUGAUAAUGUUGUUUAGGACCCUAAGCUUUGUCAUGGCUGAUUUAAAUAGGCACAGUUGGUUUAGAAGGAAAGCACUGCUACUAAUUUUAGAACUAGGAUGUCGUUUUUGACAGCUGUCAGGUAUUGCUUAUUUGCAUUGUAAGAUCACAAUUCUAAGGUUAAUCUUUUUAGUUGUGUAGCAUUGCAUAUUUGGGUCCUUGAAUUUUCUCCUCGAAGAUCAACACAUUCGAUCAGAUUUGGCUUAUUUAAUAAUUAGCAAACAAUAAAAAUUGAACAUCUAUGCAGUGCGACAUUUCUUACGGAUGGUCAGGUCGCCGGCAACAUCGUCUAUAUUGUACCAAGGUUCUGCUGCUGCUACAAUGGCAACCUCCUACUUCCCGAACAUAACCAUUGCAGCUAUCCUUGCUACAGUAAAUUUUGUUUCUUUUCUUUCUCAUAAAUUAUGGACAUAUAGGCAGUGGCGGAGCCAGGAAACCUGAAUGGACAGGGCCAAGAGCUGCUAAACUAGCUUGGGGAGGGCCAGACCAACGGAAUACAAAGCUAAUACACUGUUUUAGCUGAAAUACCCUGUGUCCUAGUGGAAAUAUUUGCAUGUUGGCCUGGGCCCAGGCCCUGGCUAGCACCCCCCUGUCUCCGCCACUGCAUAUAGGCAUUCUGAUCAGGUAAUGUUCUUCUCUAAGAUUUGAUAUUUGAAGCAUGAUGUUUGCGGUCAGAUAAUUUUCCUAGGGUCCUAAAGAUGUCGAUGUUGAUGGAAAAUACACAUGUUGCAUACCUUUUUUGAAAUCAGAAGGUAACACCUGAUUGCCUUCAUAUAAAGAAACAGAUUUUAAACACAUAGGAGGCGAUGUAUAGCUAGCAGGAACAAGAAAAAAAUGCUGCUCGAAGGUGAGUGGAAGUGCAUGAUUUUCUAGAAUUAUUUUCUUGACAGAAGUUACUAUAUUCUCAAUAUACAUCACAGUUGUAAUCAUCUAAAAACAGAAAAUCACUUCUAGAGUUGUAGUAAUGCAAGUGAUUAAAAUCCCUUGCUAAUUAAAAUUGUAGUUUCAUUUAUUUCACCGUAAUGUUUUUUUGGAGAACGAUCAUGCAUGUUUCUAAUACAUAUGUUGAGAUUAGUAGACGAAGGUUAACUUUGUGUCGGUAUUUACUCUCUACCAGUUUCUAUGUAAACCAUCACUGAAUACACGAGUAUGACAUCCAUAUCAUUUCCAGUAAAAAAAGUGUUGAGAUAUUUAGCUCCCGUACAAUCAGUAUGAAUUUAUAUCGUCUAUAUGUGAACAAAUAAUUUCAGGCUGAAGAUCACUAGAACCAGCAUGAAAAAUUGACCUCUCAAAACAUGAAAACAAUGGCUUACUUCAGCAGUCAAGCUUAUAAGAUGGUUCACAAUUAACAGCUGAUUUCACAAAUGUGGCUCAACUUGAAUUGUUUUAUGUUGGACAUUAUAAUUUUUGUGAGGUUUUGUUGUUCGCCCGUUGCAACGCACGGGCACUUUUACUAGUAUUAACAUAAUUAAGAGAAGAUAUCCACCCAUCAACAUCACAGUGGAAACCCCAACUAUUUGGUGAACUGCAAAUUUUGUUAUCAUACGCACACGACCAUGUGGGCUGAUGCUAUGGGUUAAAAAAACACAGUUCCAUCACUUUCAAUGGUAUGAAAUCAAAAUCUAUAUGAAACCUUAAGUAUUUGCAAUGGUACUAUUAGAUGCUAGAUAGAACUAACCAUGGUUUUGGAUUCUAGGAUAACCAUGAUAGAUUCGGAUUGUAUGAUAACCCUUCCAAGGAGUAUGUCUCUAUGAGCCUACAUAUUUUUAGAGCAAUUAUGUAAGCAUGCAUAUAUUGUUUUAAUAUGAAUAUGUGGCAAGGCACAAACAUUUUGCUACUAGAGACAACAUGUGCUGAAAAAGAAGAACUGCCUAAAAGCAUGCUUUGGCCCGUGAUAACCCACAUAAACCCAUAAAAACUUGAAUAAUCAAUAGAAUCAUUUUGCACAUAUUUUUGGGCAUUUGAUGGCUUAAACAUUCAUAAACCAUUCUCAUAAAACAAAGAUUUAUUUCGCAAAAAAAUAGAACAGCAGAAAAUACAAUAAGAAGUACAUUAACGUAUUUCAGCCCAAAGCCCAUCAACAGCACGUUUGACAUCGCCCCAGUGGGCCAAGUUAAGCACGGCCCAUUUUCUCCUCCCCCUCCCCGAUUUUCUCGGACCACACAGAGACCGCGCCGACGCGCAGCGCCGUCAUGCCCCGGCGUCCAUGGCGGCUCGGCGGAGCAGCCUGCAGCGGAGGGGUCCAGCGCGCUGCUCCGUCGAUCUUGGCCACCCGUGCCGCUCUCAUGGCGUUAGCGGCGGGAGGGAGGACGCCGGUGCCGCGGCGACUUGAGUAUGGCGAACGGGGCCUGGCUGCGGCCACCGCGUGGUCUUCUUGAGGCGCGGCAACAGCUGGAGCUUGUGGCGACUCCACGCACGGUGACGGCCGCGUGCGGCGGCCCGAUGUGCUUGGGCUUCCGGAUGGCUGAUGUAUACUCCUGCAAUAAAGCUUUUGGGGCAUGAUUCGAGCCACUCGUGCUUCAGCCAAUCAUCCAUCGUACAGACGGCAAGUGAAAUAAGUCUCUAUUAUUUCAACAGUUGGUUGCUAUCGGAAAGAAACCGUAAACUUGGCAACAUAUGGACUUCAGCGGUGCAGAUAGACAGAGAAGUCUUCAUUUUUUCAAAAGAAACUGACAUCUGACGAUAACAGUAAUGAGAAUUCAAACGUUGAGCAUUGAAACCUGGAAAAUAACAGUUGUUGGUUCAUGCAUUGCAGCACAUGAUUCACAGGAAUAAUUAGCAUCAGACUGGAGAUUUCUUUACUAGUAUAGUUUUCAUUUUUCUCAUUAGUAUUUGUUUAGACUGUAUGGUUACCUGCGACAUAGAAUAGAGAUAAAAGCAUUAGUAAAGGCUCAUUCAUUGAAAAUCAAAAUCAUAGAGACAGGAAAAGAAAAUGAGUUUCUAUCAUCUC
Molecule: long non-coding RNA, 5089 nt
Organism: Triticum urartu
Lineage: Eukaryota; Viridiplantae; Streptophyta; Magnoliopsida; Poales; Poaceae
Source: RefSeq, a predicted model, not a curated record